AUGUAUUGCAGGGGGAAAGGAAAAAUAGACUGGUGCGUAGACGUCCUAGCAGCUGAAGCUUUGCCACUCCGAUAUGGGUUGUCCCUAGCACAAAGAAUAGGGUGCAACCGUCUAGUUAUCAAUUCUGACAAUCUAGAGGUCAUCGAGACAAUGAACAAUGGAGGAGGUCAUGCGAUUGCAGCAGCGGUGAUUUUCGAUGAUUGUUAUCAUCUCGCUUGUGAUUUUCCUAUUUCUAGGUUUGAACAUUGUAAUAGAGAAGCAAAUAAGGUAGUUCACGAACUAGCUAGGGCGAGAUUUUCUGCGACUUAUGGUUGGUUUGAGGAACAGUUGAAUGAAAUUGUAAAUUUCCUCACAUACGAUGUAUCUAUUUUAUCUAAUGAAUAA
This 384-nucleotide ribosomal RNA is filed under the name Triticum aestivum (bread wheat). RNAcentral's name for it is "partial small subunit ribosomal RNA". Lineage: Eukaryota; Viridiplantae; Streptophyta; Magnoliopsida; Poales; Poaceae. The record is from RNAcentral.